RNAcentral lists this ribosomal RNA (466 nucleotides) under uncultured bacterium. Its description in RNAcentral is "partial 16S ribosomal RNA". It matches the Rfam family "Bacterial small subunit ribosomal RNA", at positions 28 to 507 of the family's 1533-position model. The record is from RNAcentral.
GAUGAACGCUGGCGGCGUGCUUAACACAUGCAAGUCGAACGAUGAAGCCCAGCUUGCUGGGUGGAUUAGUGGCGAACGGGUGAGUAACACGUGAGUAACCUGCCCUUAACUCUGGGAUAAGCCUGGGAAACUGGGUCUAAUACCGGAUAGGAGCGCCUACCGCAUGGUGGUUGUUGGAAAGAUUUAUCGGUUUUGGAUGGACUCGCGGCCUAUCAGCUUGUUGGUGAGGUAAUGUCUCACCAAGGCGACGACGGGUAUCCGGCCUGAGAGGGUGACCGGCCACACUGGGACUGAGACACGGCCCAGACUCCUACGGGAGGCAGCAGUGGGGAAUAUUGCACAAUGGGCGAAAGCCUGAUGCAGCGACGCCGCGUGAGGGAUGACGGCCUUCGGGUUGUAAACCUCUUUCAGUAGGGAAGAAGCGAAAGUGACGGUACCUGCAGAAGAAGCACCGGCUAACUACGUG